GAACUUCUUCAAUACUUGAAAAUUUUUCUCCCACUAAGCAUCAAAGAAUUUACAACUAAAUUUAUGUUCUUUGUUGCUCUAAAAAAACCCACAUAGUGAUACGAUCAUUUGGCCACUUCUGAUAAGUGCCUUUGAUCACAUCUUGUGUAUUGGAUAUGAAAACAUCAGGUGCUGGAUCUAUAAUCAUAUUUAAGAUCCAUGCAUGCU
RNAcentral lists this long non-coding RNA (207 nucleotides) under Elaeis guineensis (African oil palm). RNAcentral's name for it is "long non-coding RNA (EGUI_LNC003768)". Lineage: Eukaryota; Viridiplantae; Streptophyta; Magnoliopsida; Arecales; Arecaceae. The record is from RNAcentral.